UUUUCAUAGCUGCUUAGUGAGUUAGGCUGGCUGUUUUAGGGAAUGAGAUUUUAAUCCUUUGUUCUAACUGGUGCUGUUCACUUCGCAGGACAACAUCCUUUCCUUAAUGAGGCUGGAGUCAAUGACCUGCCUAUCCUUAGGCAUCCUUUUAUGAAACUGACUCGGAUGGUUGCUUGUAGGGCCCCUUGUUCACCUUGGAGUAGCCCUGUUCAAAGAAAGGCAACAUGUGAUUCCUUAACGAAACCUUUCCUCCAUCCCUCACUCAGUCCAUUUUCCACAGAAUCAGCCGUUUCUGUACUCAGCAAAGUCAGCAAAUGCCUCAAGCUGGACACCAGUUAGAAAGGGAACCGCUGCAAGAUACUUUCCCCAAAACCCUCUGUUUGUGAAACUGAACAUAAAAAAUAAUGGCCUACACAAACAUCGAAAACAGAAGUACGGUUUAUUCAAACUGUGAGGAAUAUCUGGUGCAAACAUCUACACACACCAGGAAGACAGAGAAAAAACACAAAAGAAAAAGCUACAAUUACAAAUAAUUUAAUAGUCAGUGAUAUUGGUGUUAAUUCACAUGAUUUGUGUGUGUGACCAGAGUGCAUGGUCAGAAAUGGUCCUUAUUCGAUGGAGCUCAAAUUCAAGGAGCUGCAGUUGGCUGAACUUGCAGAAUCCCUCGUAAAGAUGAUGAAGGUGUUGCAAGAAGGUAUUGGUGAGUAGGCCUGGCCUACUUAUUCAGCAAAUGUAAGAUUUGUUCCAGAAUCCAGGUUUUGAAGAGGUGAAGGCUAGAAACAGGUUUUUAUACCUGGAUUCUGGCUGUUCAGUUAUCAGGAUCAGUAAGCUUUGCACAAUGAGGAAGGAGAGAUCACAUCCAGAACGAGACAUAGCUCAAGUGAGUACAGUAUAUAGUUCAGGGAAUUUGGAGGCAGCCUAGGAAUUUAGUGCAGAAGGGAAGAGGUGCUUUUUUUAAAAAAUUGGCUCAUAGUUCCUUAGGUUUUUUAAAAAAAUAGGAUAAGUUGAAGGCCAUGAUCAAAGGCUCAGCAGAAAAGAGUGACAUCAUGGGAAGUGGAUUGUUUGAUGAUAGUCAAAUUAGUAGUAAUCUAUUAUGGAUUACUUUCAGAUUGAAAGUAAAUAGGGGAAUUAUUUACAGUCUACAAAUUAAAAAACCAGAACAGAAUUUUUAAAAAUCAAAUUGAUAACUAUGUAAUUAAAAUAGAGUUGCUGGGUCAGGCAAUGAGCUGUAACUACAUGAUGUGGGAGCUGGUGGUCCACAUAGUGGCUCAUAGUGUAUCAAGUGUUGGUUAGUUGAGGGACUCCAGCUCAGACACUAUGACACAUCAGGGACGGGGAAGAGUUACCUGAAUGCGGUGUUUCAGGAGGCAGUUCCAACCCUUGGAUUGAAUUUGGUCAGUGGUCGGGGGACAGGAAGGAGUGCCUGUAAGUGAGGCAGAUAGAGGGAUACAGGAGGUAGUGUUAAAAGGAGCCUCUGCACUUGAGCCUGUCUAAAAACUUUGCAAUGCUUGCUCUCUGUAGGAACGUAUCCCCUGUGGUGCGCUGUUGUGGGCGUCACAGAGAUGUGGCAAGGAGACCAGGGUUGGCAACUGUAUAGCCAAGGAUACACGUCCUAUUGAAAGGACAGGCAGAGGGGUGGCAUUAUCCCAUUAGUAAGAAAUUAAAUUAAAUCGAUAGCAGGAAAUGAUGUUGAGUCAAAGUGCAGAAACUGAGUGGCUAAAGUUAGGACACUUUAGAGGAGUAAAAGCUCUGAUGAGAUUAUGUACAGGCCUCCUAGCAGUAGUCAGGACAUAUAAAAGACAUGUCAGAAAGGCACUAGUACAAUAAACAUGGGGCUCUUCAAUAUGCAGGUGGACUGGGAAAAUGAGGUUGAUGGCAGAUAUCAAGAAAAGGAAUGGGUGAUUAGUCUGCGAGAUAGUUUUUAUUUUGAGCAGCUUGUGGAAGAGGUUACUAGGAACAGGCAAUUAUAUAUUUAGCGAUGUGUAACGGGGCGGAGAUGAUCAAAGCACUGAAGGUGAAGGAAUCCCUAGGGGAUAGCAACUAUAAUAUGAUAGAAUUCUCCCUGCGGUUUGAGGGGGAGAAUUUAGAAUCUGAUGUAAUGGUAUUCCAACUGAGUCAAGGUAAAGAUAUGAGAGAGGAGCUGGCUAGUGUUGAUUGGAAGGGGAGCCUAGUUAAAAAGGAUGGCAAAGCAGCAAUGGCAGGAGUUUCUGAGGAUAAUUUAGGAGGCACAGCAGAAAUUCACCCUGAGCAAGAGGAAACGUACUAAGGGGAGGAUCAGGCAACAAUGGCUGACAAGGGAAGUCAGGGAUAGCACAAAAGUGAAAGAAAAAGCCAAACAAUGUGGUGAAGAUUAGU
Non-coding RNA from Chiloscyllium plagiosum (whitespotted bambooshark), 2355 nucleotides. The record is from RefSeq and is a predicted model, not a curated record. NCBI's taxonomy places the organism in Eukaryota, Metazoa, Chordata, Chondrichthyes, Orectolobiformes, Hemiscylliidae.